GACGAACCGCUGGCGGCGUGCCUAACACAUGCAAGUCGAGCGGGAUCCAUCCGGUAGCAAUACCGGUGAAGAUCUAGCGGCGAACCGGGUGAGUAACACGUGAGAAACCUGCCCCGAACUUUGGGAUAACACGAGGAAACUCGUGCUAAUACCGAAUACCUCCAUCUGGUCGCAUGGCCGGAUGAAGAAAGAUUUAUCGGUUCGGGAGGGUCUCGCGGCCUAUCAGCUAGUUGGCGGGGUAACGGCCCACCAAGGCAUCGACGGGUAGCUGGUCUGAGAGGACGAUCAGCCACACUGGGACUGAGACACGGCCCAGACUCCUACGGGAGGCAGCAGUGGGGAAUCUUGCGCAAUGGGCGAAAGCCUGACGCAGCAACGCCGCGUGCGGGAUGAAGGCCUUCGGGUUGUAAACCGCUUUCAGCAGGGAAGAAAUUGACGGUACCUGCAGAAGAAGCCCCGGCCAACUACGUGCCAGCAGCCGCGGUAACACGUAGGGGGCGAGCGUUGUCCGGAUUUAUUGGGCGUAAAGAGCUCGUAGGCGGUUCGGUAAGUCGGGUGUGAAACCUCCAGGCUCAACCUGGAGACGCCACCUGAUACUGCUGUGACUAGAGUCCGGUAGGGGAGUGUGGAACUCCUGGUGUAGCGGUGAAAUGCGCAGAUAUCAGGAAAGAACACCAGCGGCGAAGGCGGCACUCUGGGCCGGUAC
Molecule: ribosomal RNA, 706 nt
Filed under: uncultured bacterium
Lineage: Bacteria
Description: bacterial SSU rRNA
Rfam family: Bacterial small subunit ribosomal RNA
Source: RNAcentral